AUGAGGAAGCUCCAGGGCAGGAUGGUUUACCUGCCUGGACAGCAAGAUGAUGGCUACACUAGCCCCCAUUCUCUGGGCGCCUGGAUUUGCCCACCAGAUCUCCUCACCUCUUGCCCUUCACCUCCUGCUGUACCUACAAGGUCUCCCCGAUUCUCAUCUGCCCAUAAUCAUGGACACAGCCCCAGGAUGUGCAGGACUCUCAGGGACCAUCUGGAGUUCCAGCUGGAAUCUGGGCCUGGUGGAGUGGGAGUGGGGCAGGGGCCUGCAUUGGGCUGACUUAGAGAGCACAGUUAUUCCAUCCAUAUGGAAAUAAACAUUUUGGAUUCCUGAUC
RNAcentral lists this long non-coding RNA (332 nucleotides) under Homo sapiens (human). RNAcentral describes it as "non-protein coding C1RL-AS1:7". Lineage: Eukaryota; Metazoa; Chordata; Mammalia; Primates; Hominidae. The record is from RNAcentral.